Molecule: non-coding RNA, 216 nt
Organism: Vicia faba (fava bean)
Lineage: Eukaryota; Viridiplantae; Streptophyta; Magnoliopsida; Fabales; Fabaceae
Source: the annotation of a GenBank genome assembly
AUGAGAUCAUUAUAUACAUAUAUGGAAGUUCUGAUAUUUUGUGGGGAAUGCUGCCUGGUCCAAGGACCUUCAUUUAACACAAAUACUUCAAUUACUGAUAUAUCAUAUAGUUUGAGUUUGUUACUAUCUCUUUCUCGGACCAGGCUUCAUUCCCCUCAAUUACACCUUCCUUCUACAAAUUACUUCAACUUCUUCAUUGGUGGAUCUCUUUAUUAA